This is a non-coding RNA of Paramuricea clavata, 291 nucleotides long. The record is from the annotation of a GenBank genome assembly. NCBI's taxonomy places the organism in Eukaryota, Metazoa, Cnidaria, Anthozoa, Malacalcyonacea, Plexauridae.
AUCCGAAGACAUGGAAGACUAUAUGUCUGAAGUGUAAUACUAGUCGUUACCUACGUUCUGAACUAACUUGUUGUUUUUAGUCUCCUGUCCAUGUACUGUAUGUUAUAUGUACUGUACUGUAUGUAUAUUUUUGUAUAAGCAGGGCCGUCCUCAGGAACAAAAAAAUUUCGGUCAGUGUACCAUUUUAGGGGUCCAAAAAUUUUUCCGGACGUACAAAAAUUUUCCGGAACAUUCAAAAAUUUUCCAGAACAUUCAAAAAUUUUCCGCACAUAGCAAUUUUUCAACAUUUUU